This 143-nucleotide unclassified non-coding RNA is filed under the name soil metagenome. Its description in RNAcentral is "partial internal transcribed spacer 1". The record is from RNAcentral.
AUGAAAUGCAAGGACGCUCUUUUUAGAGGUCCGACCCAAAUCAUUUUCCUUUACACUGUGCACAUACUACUUUUUUACACCAAUUUUUAACACAUCAGUUUUAAGAAUGUAAAUCAAGUCUCGAAAGAGCAAUAAAUAAAACA